CAUAAAUCACAUGUGUCUGCAGAGGGCGCUAUCGCUCGGUAAAGUUACUUAAUGUUGUUUUAGGUGAUAUGACACCACUGGUCUCCCUGGUAGCAGUGAGGGAAUCAAACGCGUGGGUGUUCACGUCAGUGCAGAAAUGUGUGACUCACCUUUUAUCCCCUGACGACCUGUGAAUCCUGCUCGACCUUUGAACCCAGUCAUUCCUCUUCUGCCAGGACUCCCGGGUUCACCUGCUCAACGAGGAACGGUCGGACAGAAUCUCAUAACCUUCGAGCUCAUGGAGGAGAAAGUCACAAGCAGGAAACUGGUCUGAGCACAAAGUGGCGGGCGGCGGAGGGCCUGACCUCAGACCAGCUCACCCCGUGUCCUCCUCCGCAGCUUCUGCUGCUGUCAGUCGCCUGUGGAACCAGAGACGCCUCCUCUAUGUCUCCAGGCCAGCUUUUAUUCUGAAAAAUCAAAACAGCCGAGCACAAAAAGCCGGCAGCGCCCAGCGAACAGGAGCUGCGUCCAUGUUCCCCGAGGGCAGUGACGGGUCACCUGAGGU
Paralichthys olivaceus (Japanese flounder) is the source of this 544-nucleotide non-coding RNA. The record is from RefSeq and is a predicted model, not a curated record. Lineage: Eukaryota; Metazoa; Chordata; Actinopteri; Pleuronectiformes; Paralichthyidae.